Molecule: ribosomal RNA, 253 nt
Filed under: uncultured bacterium
Lineage: Bacteria
Description: partial 16S ribosomal RNA
Rfam family: Bacterial small subunit ribosomal RNA
Source: RNAcentral
UACGAAGGGGGCUAGCGUUGCUCGGAAUCACUGGGCGUAAAGGGUGCGUAGGCGGGUUUUUAAGUCAGGGGUGAAAUCCUGGAGCUCAACUCCAGAACUGCCUUUGAGACUGAGUGGCUUGAGUACGGGAGAGGUGAGUGGAAUUCCCAGUGUAGAGGUGAAAUUCGUAGAUAUUGGGAAGAACACCGGUGGCGAAGGCGGCUCACUGGCCCGUAACUGACGCUCAUGCACGACAGCGUGGGGAUCAAACAGG